RNAcentral lists this ribosomal RNA (464 nucleotides) under uncultured Spirochaeta sp. Its description in RNAcentral is "bacterial SSU rRNA". It matches the Rfam family "Bacterial small subunit ribosomal RNA", at positions 338 to 795 of the family's 1533-position model. The record is from RNAcentral. Lineage: Bacteria; Pseudomonadati; Spirochaetota; Spirochaetia; Spirochaetales; Spirochaetaceae.
CCUACGGGGGGCUGCAGUGAGGAAUCUUCCGCAAUGGGCGAAAGCCUGACGGAGCGACGCCGCGUGGACGAUGAAGGCCGUGAGGUUGUAAAGUCCUUUUCGGGGGGGGGAAUGAGGUCCGCAGGGAAUGGCGGGCCGAUGACGUGAACCCCGGAAUAAGCCCCGGCUAACUACGUGCCAGCAGCCGCGGUAACACGUAGGGGGCGAGCGUUGUUCGGAAUCAUUGGGCGUAAAGGGCGCGCAGGCGGCGAGGCAAGUCCGGUGUGAAAGUGCUCGGCUCAACCGAGUGAUGCGCUGGAAACUGCCCUGCUUGAGUACAGGAGGGGACGGCGGAAUUCCAGGUGUAGGGGUGAAAUCUGUAGAUAUCUGGAAGAACACCGGUGGCGAAGGCGGACGUCUGGCCAUGUACUGACGCUGAGGCGCGAAGGUGCGGGGAGCGAACAGGCUUAGAUACCCCUGUAGUC